This 335-nucleotide ribosomal RNA is filed under the name Axis axis (chital). RNAcentral's name for it is "partial small subunit ribosomal RNA". It matches the Rfam family "Bacterial small subunit ribosomal RNA", at positions 848 to 1347 of the family's 1533-position model. Lineage: Eukaryota; Metazoa; Chordata; Mammalia; Artiodactyla; Cervidae. The record is from RNAcentral.
UUGUAUAAACAAAACUAUUCGCCAGAGUACUACCGGCAAUAGCUUAAAACUCAAAGGACUUGGCGGUGCUUUAUACCCUUCUAGAGGAGCCUGUUCUAUAAUCGAUAAACCCCGAUAAACCUCACCAUUCCUUGCUAAUCCAGUCUAUAUACCGCCAUCUUCAGCAAACCCUAAAAAGGUACAAAAGUAAGCACAAUCAUAAUACAUAAAGACGUUAGGUCAAGGUGUAACCUAUGGAAUGGAAAGAAAUGGGCUACAUUUUCUAAUAUAAGAAAAUCCACUACGAAAGUUAUUAUGAAAUUAGUAACCAAAGGAGGAUUUAGCAGUAAACUAAG